CCUACGGGGGGCAGCAGUGGGGAAUAUUGGGCAAUGGAGGCAACUCUGACCCAGCAACGCCGUGUGAGUGAAGAAGUAUUUCGGUACGUAAAGCUCUAUCAGCAGGAAAGAAAAUGACGGUACCUGACUAAGAAGCCCCGGCUAACUACGUGCCAGCAGCCGCGGUAAUACGUAGGGGGCAAGCGUUAUCCGGAUUUACUGGGUGUAAAGGGAGCGUAGACGGCAGCGCAAGUCUGGAGUGAAAUGCCGGGGCCCAACCCCGGAACUGCUCUGGAAACUGUGAAGCUGGAGUGCAGGAGAGGUAAGCGGAAUUCCUGGUGUAGCGGUGAAAUGCAUAGAUAUCAGGAGGAACACCGGCGGCGAAGGCGGCUUACUGGGCUUUUACUGACGCUGAGGCUCGAAAGCGUGGGGAGCAAACAGGAUUAGAUACCCUUGUAGUC
This 440-nucleotide ribosomal RNA is filed under the name uncultured bacterium. RNAcentral's name for it is "partial 16S ribosomal RNA". It matches the Rfam family "Bacterial small subunit ribosomal RNA", at positions 338 to 795 of the family's 1533-position model. The record is from RNAcentral.